This is an unclassified non-coding RNA of Erinaceus europaeus (western European hedgehog), 326 nucleotides long. Its record names the gene 7SK. It matches the Rfam family "7SK RNA". From Rfam's summary of the family: 7SK was discovered as an abundant small nuclear RNA in the mid-70s but a possible function has only recently been suggested. The record is from Ensembl. NCBI's taxonomy places the organism in Eukaryota, Metazoa, Chordata, Mammalia, Eulipotyphla, Erinaceidae.
GGAGAUGAGGGCAAUCUGGCUGUGACAUCUGUCACCCCAUUGAUCGCCAGGGUUGACUAGUUGAUCUGGCUGGCUAGGUGGGUGUCCCCUUCCUCCCUCACUGCUCCAUCUGCGUCCCUCCUGAAGCUGGGCGCUCGGUCGAAGAGGGCGGCCUUGCUUGAGUAGAGACGGACUGGUCUUUGGUAGAGGGUAUAUGAGUAGCUGCGCUCCCCUGUUAGAACCUCCAAACAAGCUCUAAUUGCAACACAAUCCUUCUACUAUGAAUCAGUCAAGCAGUGAAACUUUUUUCACUGUUACCAGUUUCAGCAUAUCCUACCAGAGAUGGU